UAUCAGUCAUGCAUAGCAUAUCAAUAAGCGGAGGAAAAGGAACUAACAAGGAUUCCCUUAGUAACGGCGAGUGAAGCGGGAAGAGCUCAAAUUUGAAAUCUUCAAGGUCUUACCUUGACGAAUUGUAGUUUAAAGAAGUGUUUUCUGUUGAAGUUUUGGUAAAAGUUCUUUGGAAUAGGACAUCAUAGAGGGUGAGAAUCCCGUAUUUGACCAUUACUUUCAGCUUUGUGAUACACUUUCAAAGAGUCGGAUUGUUUGGGAAUGCAGUCCAAAAUGGGUGGUAAAUUUCAUCUAAAGCUAAAUAUUGGCGAGAGACCGAUAGCGAACAAGUACCGUGAGGGAAAGAUGAAAAGAACUUUGAAAAGAGAGUUAAACAGUACGUGAAAUUGUCAAAAGGGAAGCGUUUGACACCAGUGUUGUUUUCUCGAAAAUCAAUUAAAAAGAGUUGGAUUUUGUGUUGUAUUGACUUUAUCAGCUUUCUUCACUCUUUUCCAGCUUUUUUUAAUGCACUUUUCGUUUAACAAGUCAACAUCAGUUUCUUUUGUUGUAAAAAGGUCAUUGGAAGGUGGCUUUCUCUUCGGAGAAAGUGUUUAUAGCCUUUGACUCAUGCAAUCGGAGAGACUGAGGUCUGCAGCGUAGAUCCUUCGGGGUUAGAUACAUUUGUGCUAAGUUAUAGCUUUUCAUAGACAACUUGUUGACUAUGUUUAGUCUUGUAGCUUACUCGCUUAUGCUAUUUUACCUACGCUUAGGAUGUUGAACUCUAUCACACACAG
Molecule: ribosomal RNA, 773 nt
Filed under: uncultured Neocallimastigales
Lineage: Eukaryota; Fungi; Neocallimastigomycota; Neocallimastigomycetes; Neocallimastigales
Description: partial large subunit ribosomal RNA
Rfam family: Eukaryotic large subunit ribosomal RNA
Source: RNAcentral